Molecule: small nuclear RNA, 331 nt
Filed under: Panthera tigris altaica (Amur tiger)
Lineage: Eukaryota; Metazoa; Chordata; Mammalia; Carnivora; Felidae
Description: 7SK RNA (ENSPTIG00000003986.1)
Rfam family: 7SK RNA
About the family: 7SK was discovered as an abundant small nuclear RNA in the mid-70s but a possible function has only recently been suggested. Two independent studies have found that 7SK RNA binds the CDK9/cyclin T complex (known as elongation factor P-TEFb). P-TEFb activates transcription by phosphorylating the C-terminal domain of RNA polymerase II.
Source: Rfam by way of RNAcentral
GGAUGUGAAGGCGAUCUGGCUGCGACAUCUGUCACCCCAUUGAUUGCCAGGGUUGAUUCAGCUGAUCUGGCUGGCUAGGCGGGUGUCCCCUUCCUCCCUCAUUACUCCAUGUGUGUCCCUCCCAAAGCUGUGCGCUAGGUCGAAGAGUACGACCUUCCCCAAUAGAGGAGGACUGUUCUUCGGUCAAGGGUAUACAAGUAGCUGUGCUCCCUUGCUAGAACCUCCAAACAAGUUCUCAAGGUCCAUUUGUAGGAGAACAUAGGGUAGUCAAGCUUCCAAGACUCCAGACACAUCCAAAUGAGGUGCUGCACAUGGCAGUCUGCCUUUCUUU